RNAcentral lists this ribosomal RNA (1529 nucleotides) under human gut metagenome. RNAcentral's name for it is "bacterial LSU rRNA". It matches the Rfam family "Bacterial large subunit ribosomal RNA", at positions 810 to 2351 of the family's 2925-position model. The record is from RNAcentral.
UGUGGGUAGCGGAGAAAUUCCAAACGAACUUGGAGAUAGCUGGUUCUCUCCGAAAUAGCUUUAGGGCUAGCGUCGACAUCAAGAUUCUUGGAGGUAGAGCACUGUUUGGGUGAGGGGUCCAUCCCGGAUUACCAAUCUCAGAUAAACUCCGAAUGCCAAAGAAUUAUGGUCGGCAGUCAGACUGCGAGUGCUAAGAUCCGUAGUCGAAAGGGAAACAGCCCAGACCACCAGCUAAGGUCCCAAAAUAAUUGUUAAGUGGAAAAGGAUGUGGGGUUGCACAGACAACUAGGAUGUUAGCUUAGAAGCAGCUAUUCAUUCAAAGAGUGCGUAAUAGCUCACUAGUCGAGUGACCCUGCGCCGAAAAUGUACCGGGGCUAAAACAAUUUACCGAAGCUGUGGAUACCUUUAAUGGUAUGGUAGGAGAGCGUUCUAUGUGUGGAGAAGGUGUACCGUGAGGAGCGCUGGAACGCAUAGAAGUGAGAAUGCCGGUAUGAGUAGCGAAAGACAGGUGAGAAUCCUGUCCACCGUAAGACUAAGGUUUCCAGGGGAAGGCUCGUCCGCCCUGGGUUAGUCGGGACCUAAGGAGAGACCGAAAGGUGUAUCCGAUGGACAACAGGUUGAUAUUCCUGUACUAGAGUAUGUAGUGAAGGAGGGACGCAGUAGGCUAACUAAAGCGUGCGACUGGAAGUGCACGUCUAAGCAGUGAGGUGUGAAUUGAGUUAAAUGCUUAGUUCUAUAACAUUGAGCUGUGAUGGGGAGCGAAGUUUAGUAGCGAAGUUAGUGAUGUCACACUGCCAAGAAAAGCUUCUAGCGUUAAUCAUACUCUACCCGUACCGCAAACCGACACAGGUAGUCGAGGCGAGUAGCCUCAGGUGAGCGAGAGAACUCUCGUUAAGGAACUCGGCAAAAUGACCCCGUAACUUCGGGAGAAGGGGUGCUGGCUUAAAGUCAGCCGCAGUGAAUAGGCCCAAGCAACUGUUUAUCAAAAACACAGCUCUCUGCUAAAUCGUAAGAUGAUGUAUAGGGGGUGACGCCUGCCCGGUGCUGGAAGGUUAAGAGGAGUGCUUAGCGGUGACGCGAAGGUAUGAAUUGAAGCCCCAGUAAACGGCGGCCGUAACUAUAACGGUCCUAAGGUAGCGAAAUUCCUUGUCGGGUAAGUUCCGACCCGCACGAAAGGCGUAAUGAUUUGGGCACUGUCUCAACGAGAGACUCGGUGAAAUUUUAGUACCUGUGAAGAUGCAGGUUACCCGCGACAGGACGGAAAGACCCCAUGGAGCUUUACUGCAGUUUGAUAUUGAGUGUCUGUACCACAUGUACAGGAUAGGUAGGAGUCUAUGAGAUCGGGACGCCAGUUUCGAAGGAGACGUUGUUGGGAUACUACCCUUGUGUUAUGGCCACUCUAACCCGGAUAGGUGAUCCCUAUCGGAGACAGUGUCUGACGGGCAGUUUGACUGGGGCGGUCGCCUCCUAAAAGGUAACGGAGGCGCCCAAAGGUUCCCUCAGAAUGGUUGGAAAUCAUUCGCAGAGUG